Molecule: microRNA, 24 nt
Filed under: Tribolium castaneum (red flour beetle)
Lineage: Eukaryota; Metazoa; Arthropoda; Insecta; Coleoptera; Tenebrionidae
Description: tca-miR-11623-3p
Source: miRBase by way of RNAcentral
CCGGAUCGGCUCAUGGACGUGGAC